GACGAACGCUGGCGGCGUGCUUAACACAUGCAAGUCGAACGGAAAGGCCCCUUUGGGGGUCCUCGAGUGGCGAACGGGUGAGUAACACGUGCGUAACCUGCCCUUGACUUCGGGAUAACUUCAGGAAACUGGGGCUAAUACCGGAUAGGAAUCCUUGCUGCAUGGUGGGGGUUGGAAAGCUUCGGCGGUUUUGGAUGGACUCGCGGCUUAUCAGCUUGUUGGUGGGGUAGUGGCUUACCAAGGCUUUGACGGGUAGCCGGCCUGAGAGGGCGACCGGCCACAUUGGGACUGAGAGACGGCCCAGACUCCGACGGGAGGCAGCAGUGGGGAAUAUUGCACAAGGGGCGGAAGCCUGAUGCAGCAACGCCGCGUGCGGGAUGACGGCCUUCGGGUUGUAAACCGCUUUCAGCAGGGGCGAAGCUUGUGGUGACGGUACCUGCAGAAGAAGCACCGGCUAACUACGUG
RNAcentral lists this ribosomal RNA (465 nucleotides) under uncultured bacterium. RNAcentral describes it as "partial 16S ribosomal RNA". It matches the Rfam family "Bacterial small subunit ribosomal RNA", at positions 28 to 507 of the family's 1533-position model. The record is from RNAcentral.